GGAUGUGAAGGCUAUCUGGCUGUGACAUCCAUCACCCCAUUGAUCACCAGGGUUGAUUUGGCUGAUAUGGUUGGCUAGGCAGAUGUCCUCUUCCUUCCUCACCAUUCAUGUGAGUCUCUCCAGAAGCUUUGUGCUUAGUCAAAGAGCAUAUUUGGGAGCUACUUUCUUCCCUGAUCCAG
This 179-nucleotide small nuclear RNA is filed under the name Erinaceus europaeus (western European hedgehog). RNAcentral describes it as "7SK RNA". It matches the Rfam family "7SK RNA", at positions 1 to 167 of the family's 331-position model. From Rfam's summary of the family: 7SK was discovered as an abundant small nuclear RNA in the mid-70s but a possible function has only recently been suggested. Two independent studies have found that 7SK RNA binds the CDK9/cyclin T complex (known as elongation factor P-TEFb). P-TEFb activates transcription by phosphorylating the C-terminal domain of RNA polymerase II. Lineage: Eukaryota; Metazoa; Chordata; Mammalia; Eulipotyphla; Erinaceidae. The record is from Rfam by way of RNAcentral.